AUAGUGUAAACAUACUGUGCACAUAAGGUUGUAUAAGGUCCAAACGGUUGUCAGUUCGUACAGCCUGAGUAAUACCCACAUAUGCUUCGACAAUUCCUAAUCGUAAAGCAUCCACAUAAUCAAUCAUGCUGAAAUUAGCACCUGGAGGAGCCUGGACAGACGAUGCUUGUUGCAACAACACCAUAACAGCCUCUAGAUACGUUUGAAAAGCAGCACCAAUGGCUAAAGCAAUAUCACUGAAGCAAGAUAAAAUCGCUGGCUUUACAUUACGAUCUAGCACUGAGCUUUGU
Schizosaccharomyces pombe (fission yeast) is the source of this 290-nucleotide non-coding RNA. The record is from the annotation of a GenBank genome assembly. Lineage: Eukaryota; Fungi; Ascomycota; Schizosaccharomycetes; Schizosaccharomycetales; Schizosaccharomycetaceae.